This 19-nucleotide microRNA is filed under the name Bos taurus (domestic cattle). Its description in RNAcentral is "bta-miR-99a-3p". Its record names the gene bta-miR-99a-3p. The record is from miRBase by way of RNAcentral. Lineage: Eukaryota; Metazoa; Chordata; Mammalia; Artiodactyla; Bovidae.
CAAGCUCGCUUCUAUGGGU